RNAcentral lists this ribosomal RNA (1665 nucleotides) under Salmonella enterica subsp. enterica serovar Heidelberg str. N29341. RNAcentral's name for it is "bacterial LSU rRNA". It matches the Rfam family "Bacterial large subunit ribosomal RNA", at positions 1220 to 2863 of the family's 2925-position model. Lineage: Bacteria; Pseudomonadati; Pseudomonadota; Gammaproteobacteria; Enterobacterales; Enterobacteriaceae. The record is from RNAcentral.
GUUGUUGGGUAGGGGAGCGUUCUGUAAGCCUGUGAAGGUGGCCUGUGAGGGUUGCUGGAGGUAUCAGAAGUGCGAAUGCUGACAUAAGUAACGAUAAAGCGGGUGAAAAGCCCGCUCGCCGGAAGACCAAGGGUUCCUGUCCAACGUUAAUCGGGGCAGGGUGAGUCGACCCCUAAGGCGAGGCCGAAAGGCGUAGUCGAUGGGAAACGGGUUAAUAUUCCCGUACUUGGUGUUACUGCGAAGGGGGGACGGAGAAGGCUAUGUUGGCCGGGCGACGGUUGUCCCGGUUUAAGCGUGUAGGUGUGUGUUCCAGGUAAAUCCGGUUCACUUUAACACUGAGGCGUGAUGACGAGGCACUACGGUGCUGAAGCAACAAAUGCCCUGCUUCCAGGAAAAGCCUCUAAGCAUCAGGUAACAUCAAAUCGUACCCCAAACCGACACAGGUGGUCAGGUAGAGAAUACCAAGGCGCUUGAGAGAACUCGGGUGAAGGAACUAGGCAAAAUGGUGCCGUAACUUCGGGAGAAGGCACGCUGACACGUAGGUGAAGUGAUUUACUCACGGAGCUGAAGUCAGUCGAAGAUACCAGCUGGCUGCAACUGUUUAUUAAAAACACAGCACUGUGCAAACACGAAAGUGGACGUAUACGGUGUGACGCCUGCCCGGUGCCGGAAGGUUAAUUGAUGGGGUCAGCGCAAGCGAAGCUCCUGAUCGAAGCCCCGGUAAACGGCGGCCGUAACUAUAACGGUCCUAAGGUAGCGAAAUUCCUUGUCGGGUAAGUUCCGACCUGCACGAAUGGCGUAAUGAUGGCCAGGCUGUCUCCACCCGAGACUCAGUGAAAUUGAACUCGCUGUGAAGAUGCAGUGUACCCGCGGCAAGACGGAAAGACCCCGUGAACCUUUACUAUAGCUUGACACUGAACAUUGAGCCUUGAUGUGUAGGAUAGGUGGGAGGCUUUGAAGCGUGGACGCCAGUCUGCGUGGAGCCGACCUUGAAAUACCACCCUUUAAUGUUUGAUGUUCUAACGUGGACCCGUAUCCGGGUUGCGGACAGUGUCUGGUGGGUAGUUUGACUGGGGCGGUCUCCUCCUAAAGAGUAACGGAGGAGCACGAAGGUUGGCUAAUCCUGGUCGGACAUCAGGAGGUUAGUGCAAUGGCAUAAGCCAGCUUGACUGCGAGCGUGACGGCGCGAGCAGGUGCGAAAGCAGGUCAUAGUGAUCCGGUGGUUCUGAAUGGAAGGGCCAUCGCUCAACGGAUAAAAGGUACUCCGGGGAUAACAGGCUGAUACCGCCCAAGAGUUCAUAUCGACGGCGGUGUUUGGCACCUCGAUGUCGGCUCAUCACAUCCUGGGGCUGAAGUAGGUCCCAAGGGUAUGGCUGUUCGCCAUUUAAAGUGGUACGCGAGCUGGGUUUAGAACGUCGUGAGACAGUUCGGUCCCUAUCUGCCGUGGGCGCUGGAGAACUGAGGGGGGCUGCUCCUAGUACGAGAGGACCGGAGUGGACGCAUCACUGGUGUUCGGGUUGUCAUGCCAAUGGCACUGCCCGGUAGCUAAAUGCGGAAGAGAUAAGUGCUGAAAGCAUCUAAGCACGAAACUUGCCCCGAGAUGAGUUCUCCCUGAGACUUAGAGUCUCCUGAAGGAACGUUGAAGACGACGACGUUGAUAGGCCG